Molecule: long non-coding RNA, 1763 nt
Filed under: Scleropages formosus (Asian bonytongue)
Lineage: Eukaryota; Metazoa; Chordata; Actinopteri; Osteoglossiformes; Osteoglossidae
Description: lncRNA (ENSSFOG00015027686.1)
Source: RNAcentral
AUGGCCGGAGCCCCAGGGCGCCCUCCUUCGGACGGAAACGCCAGGUACGUUCACCAGCGUGGGGUCGGCCCUCCGACCACUGACGGCAGAGCGACCAGGCGUGUCUCACCGGACCGUGUUGUUUCAGUCGCAGGGGAACCGCACAGCGCCGCGCCCCACACGGACGCUACGGACGCAGGUGGGCGGGAAGCACCUCCGCGCUCUCUCACACGUCACACACACGUUCGCAAGGCAGCGCUGGCUCUCUGCUCUGCUCCACUGCAAGCAGAGUGCUAUUCGCAGCGGUGGGGGGGGGGUCCUAACCAAACUUUUGUUUGUGCUCUCCCCAUAGUCACCGCUGAUCCGAAGGGAGUCCGCGACGGCUUCAGUCACCUAGGCACCACACCACAGACACAAUCAGCUGGUAAGUUUAAUGGGAGUUAAAUGCUCGUUCAGAGCCACUCGACAGGCGUGUCUGCUCACGGGACACAGACACAGUCCGCCAGGUGACUCAGUCCGUGAUCGUGACUGCGGGUUGGUGUUCCGGCCCCUUCGGAGGUAGAUACUCAAUAGCUCUUCUCCUUUCUCUGUUUUGUUUGCUCUUUUCAGUUCCCGCAGGGGAACAGUACAUCACUUCUGGUCAGGGUCCUGAAGGUGGGUUGUUCUCUCCCAGGAGGCUUUGCUUCGUCUUUGUGAAUUGCAAAUAUGAGUGUCAUUUAAGGUUAAAUGUUAAAAAUACCAGCUGUAAAAAAUAUCCGAAAUGUAAUACAUGAAUAGUGAAAUGCAUUGUACGUUACCCAUAAAAUACAUAAGUAUUUACCCCAGAUUUCCCGGUAGGUAUCACAGAUUUCGAGUGGACACACAGUAAAUGUGCUUUUCGUCUUGAGCCAGUUAAUUUUGCUCCCAUGUAAAGAUAUGAAAGAUAUUUUACAUUCAGGUAGUGAUAAAGGGGUAUCGGAACAUAUUGUACCAUCAUCAUCAUCAUCACCAUCACCACCACAGAGGGCAGGGAGCAGGAUUUAGAAAGUCAUUGGGCACCAGGUGUUAUGACUAAAGUGUUUUUCCAACGGCAAGGUGCAGAAAACGUGGAACUGGAGGAUACCUGCUGACUUCCACAUCAAGCCACGUGUCAAGAUCUUGCGUUUCAGAUUUCAGUGUAAGGACCAGUGGGCCUGGAGGAAGACCGAUGAGCCGGCCCGUUAAUAAUCGGAUCGGGCUGCCUGUUCGUCCGUUUUCACUAUUUAAGCACAAAAGAACGUCCCUUUCACAGCAUCUGCCGGGAAAUAUACUGCAGUUUUAUGUAAUAUCUUAAGACAAAAAAAAAAGAGGAAAAGUCUGGAUUGAUGUGCUAAACUGUAAAAAGCUGAAAACAAUUUGAAACUUACAGUGCCUGCAAGUACUGUAUUUUUAUAUAUUUAAGCAAUACUCAUUACCAGUGUGACAAUUUGUAAACUGCCAAAUGUCUAUCACUUGAAAGUAAUCUUUACAUUAAAGUUAUCACCCAUUUUGAACAUCAGCAUGUACAGCUACUGUUGAUGACCUCACAACGGAGUCUCCAUUCUGCUCCCGUUAUGCGCAUCAUGGUCAAUGCACCCAAAUAAUGUCAAGUUUCCAGUUUUUUAAUGCUUAAUGUUAUUCUCCAAAUAAUCUUUCUGUAACAAAAGAUGUUAGCUCAUGCUUGGUUGCUAACAUUCAUUUUCAAUACUUUUCCUGAAGUAAAAAACACAUUAUACCACCUUAAUUUGUUUUAACCAAUAAAUAGCAAACAGUUCUUUAUAAGCCCA